GAUGAAGAACGUAGCGAAAUGCGAUAAGUAAUGUGAAUUGCAGAAUUCAGUGAAUCAUCGAAUCUUUGAACGCACAUUGCGCCCGCCAGUAUUCUGGCGGGCAUGCCUGUUCGAGCGUCAUUACAACCCUCAGGCCCCCGGGCCUGGCGUUGGGGAUCGGCGAGGCGCCCCCCGCGGGCACGCGCCGUCCCCCAAAUACAGUGGCGGUCCCGCCGCAGCUUCCAUUGCGUAGUAGCUAACACCUCGCUACUGGAGAGCGGCGCGGCCAUGCCGUAAAACACCCAACUUCUGAAUGUUGACCUCGAAUCAGGUAGGAAUACCCGCUGAACUUAAGCAUAUCAAUAAGCGGAGGA
This 353-nucleotide unclassified non-coding RNA is filed under the name soil metagenome. Its description in RNAcentral is "partial contains 5.8S ribosomal RNA, internal transcribed spacer 2, and large subunit ribosomal RNA". The stretch from base 1 to 120 matches the Rfam family "5.8S ribosomal RNA", at positions 35 to 154 of the family's 154-position model. The record is from RNAcentral.